UGAGUGCAUAUGGUCCUGGCAGUGAGAGGAAUGAAGAGGAGAGAGUGACCUUCUGGAACGACUUGGAUGAGUGUUUGCAAGGAUUUGGAGCAAAUGUGAAUGUAGUGCUGAUGGGAGAUCUGAAUGCUAGAGUGGGUGAUGAGAAAAUUGAGGGUGUUGUUGGCGGGCAUGGUGUUCCUGGAAAGAAUGAUAAUGGUGAGAGACUGAUAGGAAUGUGCACUGAAAGAGAGAUGAUGAUUGGGAAUACAUGGUUCAGAAAGAAAGAGAUCCAUAAGUAUACGUGGGUGAGGCAGAAUGGUGGAAGAGUGAUUGACAAAGCACUGAUGGAUUAUGUGGUGGUUUCAAAGGUUGCAUGUAGUAGAUUGCUGGAUGUAAGUGUGAGGAGGGGAGAGAGUGGAGGUAUGUCUGAUCACUAUUUGGUGGAAGGAAGGUUGCGUGUGGUUAUGCCAUGGGUGAGAUCGAGAAAGAGUGGGGAGGCAAGAGAAGUUCUGAGAGUGAGUGUUUUGAAGAACAGAGAGAAAAUAUGUGAGUAUCAGAAGGAAUUAGGUGGCAAGUGGAAUAUGGUGAAGGAGCAAAUGGUUGUUGGAGUGGAGGAAGAAUGGCAACAGUUCAAGAGUGCAGUGGUUGGAAGUGCAGAGGAAGUGUGUGGUGUGAGACGUGUUGGGGGUGGUCUAAGAAAGGGAAGUGAAUGGUGGUGCGAGGAUGUAAGGUUGGCUGUAGCUGAUAAGAGAUGUGCGUACGAAGUAUAGCUGCAGAGAAAGGACAGGGAGUCAUAUGAGUGUUAUAAGGAGUAGAAAAGGGAUGCUAAGAGAGCUGUGCGUGAGGCAAGAGCGGCUGCAGACGAAAGGUGGGGCAGACAGUUGACUGAUAAUUUUCGAGAGAACAAGAAAAAGUGUCGGGGAGGGAGGACAAAGUAAAAACAGAGGAUGGAAGGAUGUUGAAUGAGGGGAAUGCAGUAAGAAAAAGAUGGGCAGAGUAUUUCGAGAGGCUGCUGAAUGUGGAGGAAGAUCGGGAUGCUGUGAUUGGGAUGGAUGGAAGGGAAAGUAGACUGAAUGUAUUGGGAGAGUUGAAUGAAGCAUUGAUUACCGGAGAGGAAGUUGAGCAAGCUGUGGGAAAGUUGAAAGUAGGAAAGGCAGCAGGUGUGGAUGGGUGUGCUGUGGAAUGCCUGAAGUGUGGUGGAGCGAUCGUGAUUGAGUGGUUAGUGAGAUUGUUGAAUGUGUGUUGUGUAAGUGGGCAGGUGCCGCUUGAUUGGAUGAGUGCGUGUGUGGUUCCCCUGUACAAGGGUAAGGGUGAUAAGUAUGAAUGUGGUAGUUUAAGGGGUAUUAGUCUGUUGAGUGUUGUAGGCAAAGUGUAUGGGAGAGUGCUGAUUAAUAGGGUAGUGGAGGGGACUGAGUGUAUGAUUGGUGAAGAGCAGUGUGGUUUCAGGAGAGGUAGAGGGUGUGUGGAUCAGGUGUUUGAUGUGAGACAGGUGUGUGAAAAGUUUUUGGCUAAGGGGAGGGAGGUGUUUUGGGCAUUCAUGGAUUUAGAGAAGGCGUAUGAUAGGAUUGAUAGCGAGGCGUUGUGUUGAGUAUGUAUGGUAUUGAUGGUAGAUUGUUGGAAGGUGUGAAGAGUUUUUAUAGAAACAGUAGAGCGUGUGUGAGAGUAGGAAAUACCAUGAGUGAGUGGUUUCCUGUGAGGGUUGGUCUGCGUCAGGGAUGCGUGAUGUCUCCGUGGUUGUUUAACGUGUAUAUGGAUGGUGUGGUAAAA
Molecule: non-coding RNA, 1746 nt
Organism: Oryzias latipes (Japanese medaka)
Lineage: Eukaryota; Metazoa; Chordata; Actinopteri; Beloniformes; Adrianichthyidae
Source: RefSeq, a predicted model, not a curated record